This 547-nucleotide ribosomal RNA is filed under the name Russula sp. RNAcentral describes it as "SSU rRNA". It matches the Rfam family "Bacterial small subunit ribosomal RNA", at positions 404 to 971 of the family's 1533-position model. The record is from RNAcentral. Lineage: Eukaryota; Fungi; Basidiomycota; Agaricomycetes; Russulales; Russulaceae.
CAAGAGUGACUAGCUAACUGAAUCAAUAAAUAAUUGAUAACAUAAGGGAAAAUAAUGAUAUUACCUUAUUAUUAGUGUCGUCCAAAACUGGUGCCAGAAGACUCGGUAAGGCCAGAGACACAAACGUUAAUCGUCUUAAUCAGGCGUAAAGGGUUUGUAGGCGGCUUUAAAAUUUACUUGUAAAAUUAAAAUAAAUAAUAAGUAAAGAAUAAAAGCUAGAAUCAAAUAGAGGAUAUAUGAAAUAAUGCUUAGAGUAGGUCUGAUAUCCUUAGAUACUAAGUAGAAUAUUAAAGGCGAAAGCUUUUUUCCAUUAAUGAUUGACGCUCAGAAACGAAGGUGAGGAUAGGAAAUAGGAUUAGAUACCCAGAAUACCCCUCUCUGUCAACGAUGAAUGGUAGUUAUUAGUACAAAUUAUUAAUGGCAAUGUUAACACGAUAACCAUUCCGCCUUGUGAGUACAACUGCAAAGUUGAAAACAAAAAAAUUAGUCGGUUUCGGAGCAAACGAAGUGAAGCAUGUUAUUUAAUUCAUUUAAUCCCGCGAUAUGA